UGGCGGACGGGUGAGUAAUGUCUGGGAAACUGCCCGAUGGAGGGGGAUAACUACUGGAAACGGUAGCUAAUACCGCAUAACGCCGCAAGACCAAAGAGGGGGACCUUCGGGCCUCUUGCCAUCGGAUGUGCCCAGAUGGGAUUAGCUAGUAGGUGGGGUAACGGCUCACCUAGGCGACGAUCCCUAGCUGGUCUGAGAGGAUGACCAGCCACACUGGAACUGAGACACGGUCCAG
RNAcentral lists this ribosomal RNA (235 nucleotides) under uncultured bacterium. Its description in RNAcentral is "partial 16S ribosomal RNA". It matches the Rfam family "Bacterial small subunit ribosomal RNA", at positions 96 to 334 of the family's 1533-position model. The record is from RNAcentral.